CUGAUGAUUUGUAUCCGUGCUGUCUCAUCUUCCUGAAAGCUCUUCUCAAGCUGUGGGAGUGCUGCAGAAGGUGACUGAAACCUCACAGGGUUGUUAAAAAGCUUGGGAUUACACACGACUGAGUCAGCAGAGGAGAGAGACUGGGGCAAAAUGUGCGAAUUAAUCCUAGGCAUCUGGCUUAUGACAAGUCUUUCUACGAAACUCACCAUGAGUAACUUGUGAUACAGUGUUUGCUCUGUUCGGGUGGACACCAGCGCC
Molecule: long non-coding RNA, 258 nt
Filed under: Fukomys damarensis (Damara mole-rat)
Lineage: Eukaryota; Metazoa; Chordata; Mammalia; Rodentia; Bathyergidae
Description: lncRNA (ENSFDAG00000024884.1)
Source: RNAcentral